CAUGCAUCUGGCAGUUUAGAAACCGAGAUGUUUAUUUGCCCUGAACCCCAGAAAAUCAUAAGCGAACUCUGCAGGGUCCUCAGUGAGGGUGGGUGUUAACAGGAAGGAGUGGCGGAGAGUCAGGGGCCUGCCAGGAGUCAGCUCUCCCUGGGGUUGGCUGGCUGGUCCCUGAAGGAGGAGGGCCUUGAGGACGGCCGGGUCCCCAGUGCCACUGCAGUUGGUUGCAGGAAGAGUGCGGGUGCAGCCUUCCUGCUGGGUGGAGUCCAGUGUCAGGGGUUCAGGUGACCCUUAGUACACAGAGGCACGAUUCUCCCUCAUCAAAAAAUAACCAGCUGGAUGUAAAGGCAGAACCCAAAAUGGGGAAACUAUUUUCCGAUCAUAUAUUUGAUAAAGCACGAACUGCCAGAGUGCAGAAAAGAACUCCUUCCCGUGACUCCAUAGCAGAAAGCAGCCCAUUCGGAAAUGAACGAAGGACUCAGUAGACAUUUCUCCAAAGAAGGUGGCUAGGUGGCCACAAGCCCUCGGAAAGGUGCCUCAUGCGUCAUUAGAAAUGCAAGGAGACACCACUCCACACCCAGAGGGGGGUAUCAUAACAAAGAAGCAAAGAAGGAAAAGAAACUGGAGAAACUGGAACCCUGUGCAUCACUAUAGACGUGCAGGGGGUAGGGCAGCCACUGGUGGGACAGCAUGUGGCGCUCCGGAAGGUCAACCGCGGGAUUUCCAUGAGAUCUGGCGAUCCACCUCUGGGGGGUCAACCCAUGAGACUGAAGGCAGGACUCCCAGCAGCGGGAAGGCAGAGCCACUGGGCCUCCCGUCAGGAGGGGAGUGGAUAAACAGAACAUGGCGCAGACACACCGCCAACCUUACCAGGCAGCCUUAAAGAGGAAGGAAAUCCUGCCACGGGCUAUGGCACGGAUGCACCUCGGGGACACAGUGCUAAGUGACAUAAGACAGACACCAAAGACAGAUGGAUGAGUCCCCUCCAGGAGGAACCUGGGAUAGACACAUCCUAGAGAUGCAAGCAGAGUGGACUUGACCAGGUCCAGGGGAAGGAGGGGAAGGAGAGUUAUUUGUCUGGGACCAUAGAAUGUUCUGGAAAUGUGGUGACGACCCCCAACAUCCUGGACGUGUGCAUGCCUCGGAAUUGUACACCUAAAUAGCUGAAGUGGUAAAUUGUAUGUUCCGUGUAUUUAGCCCCAUACAACCCACUCCAGUGGUUCUUGUGCGGUCGAGAAUCCCUAGAGGGUUUCCUAAAUAAGGCUCACUUCUAUGUCAUUUUAUUUCUUUUUCUUUUC
This 1295-nucleotide long non-coding RNA is filed under the name Marmota monax (woodchuck). The record is from RNAcentral. Lineage: Eukaryota; Metazoa; Chordata; Mammalia; Rodentia; Sciuridae.